RNAcentral lists this ribosomal RNA (465 nucleotides) under uncultured bacterium. Its description in RNAcentral is "partial 16S ribosomal RNA". It matches the Rfam family "Bacterial small subunit ribosomal RNA", at positions 28 to 506 of the family's 1533-position model. The record is from RNAcentral.
GACGAACGCUGGCGGCGUGCUUAACACAUGCAAGUCGAACGGAAAGGCCCUGCUUUUGUGGGGUGCUCGAGUGGCGAACGGGUGAGUAACACGUGAGUAACCUGCCCUUGACUUUGGGAUAACUUCAGGAAACUGGGGCUAAUACCGGAUAGGAGCUCCUGCUGCAUGGUGGGGGUUGGAAAGUUUCGGCGGUUGGGGAUGGACUCGCGGCUUAUCAGCUUGUUGGGGGGGUAGUGGCUUACCAAGGCUUUGACGGGUAGCCGGCCUGAGAGGGUGACCGGACAUUGGGAGGGAGAGACGGCGCAGACACCCACGGGGGGGGGAAGGGGGGAGAAUUGCACAAUGGGGGGGAAAGCGAGACGGAAAAGCGCCGCGGGGGGGAGGGGGGCUCGGGGGUUGAAACCCUUUCGCCUGUGAGGAAAGGCGGGUGAGGGUAAAUGGGAAAAAAAAACCGGGUAAAUAUGU